Molecule: ribosomal RNA, 427 nt
Filed under: uncultured bacterium
Lineage: Bacteria
Description: partial 16S ribosomal RNA
Rfam family: Bacterial small subunit ribosomal RNA
Source: RNAcentral
GUGGGGAAUAUUGCACAAUGGGCGAAAGCCUGAUGCAGCAACGCCGCGUGAAGGAUGAAGGCCUUUGGGUCGUAAACUUCUGUCCUUGGGGAAGAAAAAAAUGACGGUACCCCUGGAGGAAGUCCCGGCUAACUACGUGCCAGCAGCCGCGGUAAUACGUAGGGGGCGAGCGUUAUCCGGAAUUAUUGGGCGUAAAGAGUACGUAGGUGGUUUUUUAAGCGCAGGGUUUAAGGCGAUGGCUCAACUGUCGUUCGCCCUGUGAACUGGAAGACUUGAGUACAGGAGAGGAAAGCGGAAUUCCUAGUGUAGCGGUGAAAUGCAUAGAUAUUAGGAGGAACACCAGUGGCGAAGGCGGCUUUCUGGACUGUAACUGACACUGAGGUACGAAAGCGUGGGGAGCAAACAGGAUUAGAAACCCGUGUAGUCC